RNAcentral lists this long non-coding RNA (858 nucleotides) under Mytilus galloprovincialis (Mediterranean mussel). Lineage: Eukaryota; Metazoa; Mollusca; Bivalvia; Mytilida; Mytilidae. The record is from RNAcentral.
GCUUUAUGAUGUAUUUAUAUGAAUUUAAAGCAAAGGUCAAAAUCUAGAACGUCAUAUUAACCUAUGACCUUGACCUCAAUUUCAAGUUCACAAACCAAGGACCUUAAAUCAAAAGACCCAAGGUCUUUAAUAUGUUUGGUUUAUUAGUAAUAUCACUUUACGCGUAAUUCUAAAUGUAAGAUGGGCAAAAACUCCUAUUUAUUGUCUGCGCACCCUUUCAAUCAAAAUAUACAAGUAAGGACAUGUCGCAACUAACAAUUUAUGAAAAAUUAUUUGUCGAUAUGUCAUAAGGUAUUUGAAAAUAAAUGAAAAUAAGCCAAAAUCAAAAUUUAGAAUAUGACCUUGACCUUUGACCUUGACCUCAUUUUUAUUAUUUUCGACCAAGGACCCCAAAUCUAAAGACCCUAUGUCUUUAUCACUUAUGGUUUACCAUUUAGAAAUGCAUAUCACUUAAUUUAAGGGAAAAGGGGGAAUAACUCUCAUAUGGAGUCUCCGUAAAGCUUCGGUCCAAAUGAAUAUCCUAAUCCUGAAGAUGUAACGAGCAAUUUGGUAAAAUAAAUUUGUCGUAAUCUUUAACGGUUGCGAAGGAGUAGUGGCCACAAGAAAAACAGUGUUUGGGGAGAUAACUCUUACAACGUAAAGUAUUUUGUUACGCAGUUGUAAAUUUUUUAAAGCGUAUAAACUAUACGAUAUCAUAUUCCAAAUAUCUAAGCGACAUCUUUUGAAACAUCAAUAAUACGCAAGAAAAAAAAUUAGGCGGAAAAAAAAAAAAAAAAAUAAUAAUAAUAAUAAUCAGAACAAAUUCAAUAGGUCUUUCCACGGAAAAGUGGAAAGACCUAAUAAUCAGAACAAAUUCAA